CCCUUAGAUGUUCUGGGCCGCACGCGCGCUACACUGACGAUGGCAACGAGUUUUUCCUUCGCCGAAAGGUGUGGGUAAUCUUUUGAAACAUCGUCGUGCUGGGGAUAGAUCAUUGCAAUUUUUGAUCUUGAACGAGGAAUUCCUAGUAAGCGCGAGUCAUCAGCUCGCGUUGAUUACGUCCCUGCCCUUUGUACACACCGCCCGUCGCUACUACCGAUUGAAUGGUUUAGUGAGGACUCCUGAUUGGCGCCGCCGCCCCGGCAACGGAGCAGCGGACUGCCGAAAAGUUGUUCAAACUUGAUCAUUUAGAGGAAGCAAAAGUCGUAACA
Molecule: ribosomal RNA, 329 nt
Filed under: uncultured eukaryote
Lineage: Eukaryota
Description: partial 18S ribosomal RNA
Rfam family: Eukaryotic small subunit ribosomal RNA
Source: RNAcentral